This 900-nucleotide ribosomal RNA is filed under the name uncultured bacterium. RNAcentral's name for it is "bacterial SSU rRNA". It matches the Rfam family "Bacterial small subunit ribosomal RNA", at positions 1 to 898 of the family's 1533-position model. The record is from RNAcentral.
UUAGAGUUUGAUCCUGGCUCAGGAUGAACGCCAGCUACAGGCUUAACACAUGCAAGUCGAGGGGCAGCAUGAACUUAGCUUGCUAAGUUUGAUGGCGACCGGCGCACGGGUGAGUAACACGUAUCCAACCUUCCGUUUACUCAGGGAUAGCCUUUCGAAAGAAAGAUUAAUACCUGAUAGUAUGGUGAGAUUGCAUGAUAACACCAUUAAAGAUUUAUUGGUAAACGAUGGGGAUGCGUUCCAUUAGGUAGUAGGCGGGGUAACGGCCCACCUAGCCUGCGAUGGAUAGGGGUUCUGAGAGGAAGGUCCCCCACAUUGGAACUGAGACACGGUCCAAACUCCUACGGGAGGCAGCAGUGAGGAAUAUUGGUCAAUGGGCGAGAGCCUGAACCAGCCAAGUAGCGUGAAGGAUGAAGGUCCUACGGAUUGUAAACUUCUUUUAUACGGGAAUAAAGUUUCCUACGUGUAGGAUUUUGUAUGUACCGUAUGAAUAAGCAUCGGCUAACUCCGUGCCAGCAGCCGCGGUAAUACGGAGGAUGCGAGCGUUAUCCGGAUUUAUUGGGUUUAAAGGGAGCGCAGACGGGAGAUUAAGUCAGUUGUGAAAGUUUGCGGCUCAACCGUAAAAUUGCAGUUGAUACUGGUUUCCUUGAGUGCAGUUGAGGCAGGCGGAAUUCGUGGUGUAGCGGUGAAAUGCUUAGAUAUCACGAAGAACCCCGAUUGCGAAGGCAGCUUGCUAAACUGUAACUGACGUUCAUGCUCGAAAGUGUGGGUAUCAAACAGGAUUAGAUACCCUGGUAGUCCACACGGUAAACGAUGGAUACUCGCUGUUGGCGAUAUACUGUCAGCGGCCAAGCGAAAGCAUUAAGUAUCCCACCUGGGGAGUACGCCGGCAACGGUGAA